This 539-nucleotide ribosomal RNA is filed under the name uncultured bacterium. RNAcentral describes it as "bacterial SSU rRNA". It matches the Rfam family "Bacterial small subunit ribosomal RNA", at positions 356 to 896 of the family's 1533-position model. The record is from RNAcentral.
GAGGAAUAUUGGUCAAUGGACGGAAGUCUGAACCAGCCAAGUAGCGUGCAGGAUGACGGCCCUAUGGGUUGUAAACUGCUUUUGUAUGGGGAUAAAGUUAGGGACGUGUCCCUAUUUGCAGGUACCAUACGAAUAAGGACCGGCUAAUUCCGUGCCAGCAGCCGCGGUAAUACGGAAGGUCCAGGCGUUAUCCGGAUUUAUUGGGUUUAAAGGGAGCGUAGGCUGGAGAUUAAGUGUGUUGUGAAAUGUAGACGCUCAACGUCUGAAUUGCAGCGCAUACUGGUUUCCUUGAGUACGCACAACGUUGCCGGAAUUCGUCGUGUAGCGGUGAAAUGCUUAGAUAUGACGAAGAACUCCGAUUGCGAAGGCAGCUGACGGGAGCGCAACUGACGCUUAAGCUCGAAGGUGCGGGUAUCAAACAGGAUUAGAUACCCUGGUAGUCCGCACAGUAAACGAUGGAUGCCCGCUGUUGGUACCUGGUAUCAGCGGCUAAGCGAAAGCAUUAAGCAUCCCACCUGGGGAGUACGCCGGCAACGGUG